RNAcentral lists this long non-coding RNA (6789 nucleotides) under Sus scrofa (pig). RNAcentral describes it as "lncRNA (ENSSSCG00015033266.1)". Lineage: Eukaryota; Metazoa; Chordata; Mammalia; Artiodactyla; Suidae. The record is from RNAcentral.
UCCCAUUCUAUGCCUCCACAGUGCUGUUUAAAAAUAAAAAGAGCUACUGAUGUAGGAGGGUCCUAUACACUGUAAGGCACCACCAAAAAAAUAAAAAUUAAAAAAAAAAAAGAAUGGAAAGUUCAAGGACUUGUCUGGAUCUAAGAACAACUUGAUCAGGGUGAUGUCACCAGGACCCAUUCUAGUUCUCUCACUCCAUCUCUUAGCCCUGUCACUACCAUGUUGGCCUUGCUCUGAAAAAAGGCUGUAUUGACUAGCUAUUAUCACGACACUGCUGCUGAACCAGCAACCACAACAUACAGAGACAUUCAACAAUGAGCGCUUCCUUCUCACACAACUGUGGGUCAGCUGAGGUCAACUGGGCCUAGUCAUCCCUUUGCAUAUCUGUUAGGUUAGAUUCUGGUGGCCCUGCUUCGAUGGGGUCCAGCUAAGCUUGGCUCCUCAAGGCAGGCUGGGGAUAUCAUCUUGAGGCUGGGCUGAGGGGGCAACGGCCACCCUGAGAAAUUCUUCCUAUGGCCACAGUAGAAGUACAAAGAGCCAGCGCAAAUGCACAAGCACAUUUCAAGCCUCUGCUUGUGUUACACCUGUUAACAUCUCAUUGGCCAAAGCAAGUCACAUGCUGAGCCCAAAUUCAAGGCUGCCCACCAUAAGGCAGUUGUAUGGCCAAGCCUGACAUCACUGCUCUGAAGGAGUUGACUCCUCUCAUGGAAGUGGGGUGGGGGGAAGGGGGUGAAUGUGGGAAUAAUAAUCAAACUUAAAACAGAGUCCUGCUCCCAUCACAGUCCCAAUGUAAAUACAAUCUCUUCAGCAUUUGUUUCUUCUUAACUUCAAGUCCAAGGAGAAGAAUACCUUCCUACAAAAGUCUCUGUUUCUCACCGGCCCUGGUGCAUCCUCCCCCAUCCCUGCACCCGUGACUGUAACAAACAGGAUCCCCUGCUUUAACCAGAGGUGGAAAGUGAAUCACAUUGUUCAAACUGCAUGGGGAAAACUCUACAGAAAGAAACCAGCACACCAGUACAAGAAUGAGUGUCAAGGAUCCUGGGCUGCAAAAAAACCACUGUGGGGACCCUACUCCUCUCACCUCACCCCGCGGUUCCCUCUUCUCCUGCUCUUAAUCUUAUGCUGCAGCUGUUUCUCAUGAGCUUGUAUCCAUGACACUUCCUGUUCCUCUCUCAGGUUUGCUUUGGCCUCUGGAGUCCUGGGCUCAGGAUUCCUCAAGCUUACCUCUCAGGCUUCCUUCUAUAAAUGUGUUCAAAAUUGCCCUUUCCCCUAGGCUUCCUCCCCCAGAGGUUCAGUCUCUAUGGGUGCCCGCUCUGGCUGCUGGCCCCCAGGAUCAAAGACCUCACUGGAUUCACCCUUCUCUUCCCUGGGUCAUGUUGACACCCCUUGCCCUCCCCACCCCAGCCAGGGGCUGCAACCUGCCAGGCUACACACCGGCCACCCUGCCAGCCAAGUCAUUGGACCUGACAGAUCUCAUGUGGCUGCCCCGGGGCCUCUCUCAGGUCCGUUCUACAGGAGAGAGAUUUAUUUCCCUGAAGUUUCAGGGCAGGAAAAGACUCACUUCCUGGAGGCAUGCCAAGAAGGAGGCAAUCCACCCAGGAAACAAACAAGACCCUUUUCUCUAUAGUCUUUCCUGCUUCCCCAUGUCAAACCCUCCCUGCUCCCCUUGAGUGAAAGGAGAGCUGUCAGGAUCAAAGCCCCAUAUUUGUGAUGAACUGCUGCUGGCUAGACCCGCGCAGGAAGGGCUGUCAGCGCUUAACUCCUUCUUACCCACUAUGUGCUGGCUGCGGUCAUAGACUUCUGUAGUCACAUUGCAGUAAGUGAAACAUCUUUUUAUGAGCGGAGAGCCAUGCCAACUGGAAAGUUUGAAAGAAUGAUUAAGGACUUGAAAGGCAGAAAAAUCUGCCUUGGAGUCUUUCUUGAACUCCUUAACUGCUUCAUAAUAGAUGAUCUAAUAUAUUUGCUCCAGGAGAUUAUAAAGACCAAGAACAUGGAUUCUGGAAGCAGGCCCUUUGGGUUAAAUCUCUCUUUCACCUCUCUCUAGCUGGAAGACCUUGAAUUAGCUAUUUAGCUUUUCUAUCUCAGCUUCCUCAUCUGUAAAAUGGACAUAAGAAUUACAGGGAUCUCAUGGUGUGGCUGGAAGGACUAAACAAGAUAAUGCACAUGCUGAGCUUAACCCAGUGUCUAGCAUAUUACAAGGAUCAUUAACUUUCUUCGUGGCUAUCACUGUUACUAUUUUUAUUAUUCCGGAGGAUGAAAGAAGACAGUACCCAGGCUUGCUGAAAAUCAAGUGUCAAGUUACAAGACAUGCGCUGCAUAAUUAAAAAUCACACAGCCUGAGUCUCUGGGCCUUCAGCUUCUGUUAAAUAAGCAUGUGACAAAAUCUUUGUCACACCCUCCAAGACAACAAAAUGUGACUAUUUUCCAAAAGGAAAGUGAAUUACAGAAUACAAUUACUGAGCAAUUUUACUGCCAGGACUGGGAGUGAGAUCAUGUCACAGGCCAGCCCCAGACUCUUCAUUCUCUAAAUAUCUUCUAAGGACUCUAGCUUCAUAAUACAACAGGGAACAACAGGGGUUUGCAAACCAAUGGGAAAGACAAAGAUAUACAUUAUCUAUAUGUCUAACUAUAUGUCUAACUUUAUGUCUGUGGCUAAGUGCUCAAAAAUACAACUACAACACUCUGGAGGAUUUUGCAAUUGUUCCUUCCUUGCUUGACUCCACACUUCGAAUGGAUCCUGUGAAGUCUUCUUUGUGAAACUCAUCUUAGGUUACUUUUAACUCAUAGAGGAGUUAAAUUGUUGUUGAGAAAGCACCCAGUGCUUUUGAGAUUCUAGGUUAUUCCAAUGAAUUGUAAAUAAGAAUGGGCAUGAUGGAUCUCAUGUGGCUGCCUUGGGGACUUUGGCAGUUGGGUCCUGGGAAAUUUCUAAGAUAUUUCACUUCUUGUCAAAUAAAUUUGUAUUAUUCUCAACUGGGGUUACAGCCAUGAAAACGUUCUGAUACAACCGCCAUCGCCCAACCUGGCUCUGGAACCACUAUAAACCCUAAGACCCCAACUGAGGAUGGCCACAAUUCCUAAGGAAACAACAAUGAAAAAUGUGUCACUUGUGGUUUAUUUUCCUAGAGCCAUAUUAAGGAGAAACAGGAUGGUUUCAAGAAAUAAACUGUUGGAGUUCCUGUCGUAGUUCAGCGGAAACGAAUCUGACUAGUACCUAUGAGAACACAGGUUCGAUCCCUGGCCUCACUCAGUGGGUUAAAGACCCAGUAUUGUCAUGAGCUGUGGUGUAGGUUAUGAGCUGUGGUAUAGGUCAAAGACGUGGCUUGGCUCCAGCAUUGCUAUGGCUGUGGUGUAAACCAGAGGCUAUAGCUCCAAAUUUACCCCUAGUCUGAGCACCUCCAUAUGCUGCAGGUGCAGCUCUAGAAAGGCCAAAAAAAAAAAAAAAAGAAAAAGAAAAAGAAAGAAGCUGUUAAAUUUAUAGGGUGAAAAAAAAUCUUAGUUUUAAUUAUAGUCUAGACUGACUUUCUUGGCAAUCACCUCACCCGACACAGAGAAACUGGUAGAAAUGUGGGGUCAAUAAAAUGGCAACAAAUGAGCACCAGCUUGUCUUUUGAUGUAGGAAACCUAUUUCUUUCCCACCUGCUGAACAAACUAAGUAGAUAGAAAAUUAAUGAAGGAUAAAAUAUUGAGGUAAGACUCAUCUAAAAAUUGAGUAGAAAUGGCAAUAAUGGUACGUCUAGAUUUUUCAUUUAUCCUUAUGAUAUUUACAUGAAAAGGAGAACGUCCAUCAUUACUGGACUUAAAAUGCUGUCAACUGGAAUAACAGCUGUUGAUCUGAAGAACCGUCAGAACACUAUCCUCUGAGACCUUCCAAUUCUCUUUUGUGCAAAUGAGUUUUAAAACAUCAGAGAAUAAAAGGGGUUGAUCUGUUUAAAGACUUCUGGCAGAAAGUCAGGUUCAAAAAAUUUGUGACACUUCAGGUUUGAGCAAAAUUGGCACUGACAAAAAGAGAAGAGAGAGUUGAAAAAAGUGAAUGACUUGGUGAUAUGGCUACCAAGAGAAGUCUUUCCUCACUAAAAUGAAGGAGGGAGAGGUGGAGGAGGAGGUGUGGGGAGGGAUAUAAGGUACUGGAGGAAGAACACAGAAGGGAGAGAUGAGGAGGAAGAAAACUUAGAGGGCUUCAAGGAAACCAGUAAUAAAGUCACAAAGCACCUUAUUUUAAUCCAUUUUUUCACAUCGCUGAUAUGCAAGAGGAAAGGAUGUGAUGAAAGGCAUUGUGAAGUUGCCACUAGAGCAAUUUCUUGCUAAUAGGAGACCUAUGAUUUAGAGGGAUAAAGAUGAGCAACGACUUACAGUGUGAGAAAAAUUGAACCAACAUUGAUUUAAUGCUGCCAGACAGCCAAUCAACACUGUAGGGGAUGAGAAGAGCCCUCUGGUAAGACCCAAGCUCUCUGCUGACCGCGUGGACCCUACUCGAAGGAACACUGUGGUCAGACAGUCUCUAACUUCUGCAGGGCCUGAACCAAGCAUACAAAUAGAGGUAUUUAGACGUUAUGUCUCACUAUUUAUAGUUUUAAGUCGAGCUUACAGCCUUCUAAAUAAAAUAUUUUUUCUAUCUAACAAAUUUACUUCUAUUUAACCAAUAUUCUUUCACAACAACUCGUUUGAGCUUUAUACAUCUGAAAAUCAAUAAAACUGCAAACGACUAGAUUUCAUUAUUAUUGCUCAGAUUUGGGUGUUCUAUUGAUGGCCAAUGAUGUUUAGAUGAGUAAUAAAAUAAAAACAUACACAAUUCAUAAUUUAUGCUCUCAUUUCAUAAAAUAAAUAGUCCUUACCUGCAUUUAAGUAUAAAAUUUAUGCUUAACUGACAGUAAUGAUAUGAAGGAUUAAAAUACAAAUAAAAUUACAUUCAAUGUAUACAAAAUGUGUAUUUGCCUUGAAAGGUAAAUUAAGCUAACUUCAAAAAUGAAAAUAAUUAGAACUAUUUGUAUUUAUGAAUUCAGAAAUUAUUUUCCAUCUAAAAUAUUGAAAAUUAUCUCAAAAUUUAAAAGCAAAAAUACAUAUAAUUACUAAAUAUUAACAUUUAAAAUAUUAUUUAAAUAAAACUGAAUUUUUGUUUAACUUUUUGAAAAUCUUAAUUAAAUCUUAUUCAACAAUUUUCUAAAAAACAAAACUAUUUCCAGUUUUAGCCAAUCCAGUCUCCACCGAUUGUUAGUGUGAAGAUUUGUCAUUUUGCUUCCUAAAUUUCAAAUCUAGGUGUGUGCAUUAUAAUAAUUAUAGCAUAUAUAUAGCAAUACUAAAUUCAACAGUAAUAUGAAGUUGUUUAAUGUCAUAAAAUAUUCCUCAGCCACCAUGUGCAACUAUUGUUGUGAAUUCUCAUGUGUACCUCUGGAACCACUUUUUAGGAUACACAAUAAACAGACCCUCAGGACUGCGAGGAUCAUUCUUUAAGCAAAAUCUAUUGCAUUCAUGCAGAGAAAGAAGAAUUUAACAUGUAUAAAAGUUUUGUUUUCUCUUAUCUGAGUGCUUCUGCUGCCGCAGUCCUUCCCACACUCAGACAUAGUGCCCACCUCAGUCCCAGCAGUGGAAGGAACCACGAGCCCUUCACAGCAUUUUAGACUGUCAUCCUUGUCCAUAGUCAAGGACAAGAAAAUAUGAAGAAUCAGUUUCCGGGAUCCUAAACAUUGUUAAGUCAUGAGAAUGGGAGCUUAGGAAUGAUGGGUUGUGUUGUACAAGCACGCAAAGAACUUCCAAGAGAUCAAAGUGCAUAGUUAUUUGUGACAUGUGGGGGAUUUUCUAAAGCCCAAAGCAGGACCAUCUCAUCUGGGUAUAAGAAAGGUUCGGCUGUGGUUCAUCCCCAAGACAAAACAGAAAAUAUUCAGUUUAGAUUGUAAAAUUAUAAUGAAUACUACCAAAGCCACAUGCUGUGUCUAUUCUUCUGCAGUUCUUUAAACUUUGUUCCUACUCGUGUAUUGUCUUUCCUACAUGCUUCCUACAGUGAAUACUUAGUGCAUGAAAUGAAGGCCAGCACAUGGGACCUUGAGCCAGUCAUUUUCCCUGUUUUCUCAUCUGUGAAUGGAAGCAGGUGGACUAUAUAAUUUCUCCUUUAAUAUGAUGUAGUUCUCAGGUUGCUAUCUUCUUGCUGAAGGAGAAGGAGGCUUCAGUAUAGGACAAAGAGCAAGGGCUCUGGGGUCCCUGAGACCUGCUUAGCUCUGUGACUUGGGGCAAGUUAUUUAAUCUCUUUGGAUCUGUCUCUUCAUCUGUAACGUAGACAAUUAUGAUGGCCUUAUAGGACAGUGUUCAGGAUUAAAUGAAAUAAUGCAUAUUAUGUUGCCAGCAGAGUGCCUAAUGUACCAGAAAUGUAUAUUACAUAAAGCUAAACUCACAUUUGGAAAAGAAAGCAAAAUGGAACAUGAGUCCACACACAUGACUGGAACUGUAUGUGCCUGCACACACAUUUACUGAAAAAUCUAGGAUCUAUAGCAUGGGAUAUGGGGUGGGAAUGACAAGGAGUGGGUUGAAAUUCAUGGAGCUGGCAAAGAAACUGCCAGUUUCUGAAUUGCAUUUGGUAAUUGGAGAAAAUUAAUUACUCUAGAUUUAAAAAAAAAAAUGAGGGGGGAACAUCUAUACCUGAAAGUAAACUAUUUAUUGAAGUGUAACAGACAUAUGGAAAAGUUAACAAUUCAAAAGUGCCUGGUUCGAAGAAUUUUCACAGAGUGGGCCACAAGCAUGCAUUCAGUGAGUAACCAAGAAAUGGAACCUUAUUAGCACCCAUACAAGUUCCUUCAUGAU